RNAcentral lists this long non-coding RNA (371 nucleotides) under Mustela putorius furo (domestic ferret). Its description in RNAcentral is "lncRNA (ENSMPUG00000031867.1)". Lineage: Eukaryota; Metazoa; Chordata; Mammalia; Carnivora; Mustelidae. The record is from RNAcentral.
GAAAGCAUGCCUGGUGGAAGGAACAGCACAGCAAAGGCUCCCAGUAGCAAAGAGCCUGAGCUGGCCGGGGAGCCAGCCGAACACCCACACUGACGUCAGAGAACAUGGCAAGUGAGUUUAAGAAGACCCAACAGUGCCCAUGGAAGGAGGGGAAUGAUUUAAAUGGUACCAAAUAUGAGAAAGAAUCACUGGAAAUUUUGGAGAAUUUCAGUGUACGUGUAAAGCAGUUGCAGAAAACACACAGUCUCCGGCUGACAUUGAGGGCUUGGAGACGCACACUGGUCCCUCGUGGUGGGAAUUCAUCUACGCAAAUCCUCCUGCUUGGGAUGAGGAGCCAGAGCUCCACGGUAACUGAACAUUCCAAGAAAAGC